UACGUAGGGUGCAAGCGUUGUCCGGAAUUAUUGGGCGUAAAGAGCUCGUAGGCGGUUUGUCGCGUCUGCUGUGAAAACUCGGGGCUUAACUCCGGGCCUGCAGUGGGUACGGGCAGACUAGAGUGCGGUAGGGGAGACUGGAAUUCCUGGUGUAGCGGUGAAAUGCGCAGAUAUCAGGAAGAACACCGGUGGCGAAGGCGGGUCUCUGGGCCGAUACUGACGCUGAGGAGCGAAAGCGUGGGGAGCGAACAGG
This 253-nucleotide ribosomal RNA is filed under the name uncultured bacterium. Its description in RNAcentral is "partial 16S ribosomal RNA". It matches the Rfam family "Bacterial small subunit ribosomal RNA", at positions 524 to 776 of the family's 1533-position model. The record is from RNAcentral.